This 311-nucleotide ribosomal RNA is filed under the name uncultured eukaryote. RNAcentral's name for it is "partial 18S ribosomal RNA". It matches the Rfam family "Eukaryotic small subunit ribosomal RNA", at positions 1470 to 1796 of the family's 1831-position model. The record is from RNAcentral.
CCCUUAGAUGUCCUGGGCCGCACGCGUGCUACACUGAUGCAUACAGCGAGUACUCCCAGCUCCGAGAGGCUGCUGGUAAUCAGCAAUAUGCAUCGUGAUGGGGAUAGAUCUUUGGAAUUAUAGAUCCUGAACGAGGAAUUCCUAGUAAUCGCAGGUCAUCACCCUGCGUUGACUAAGUCCCUGCCCUUUGUACACACCGCCCGUCGCUCCUACCGAUUUCGAGUGAUCCGGUGAAUCAUUCGGACCGCGGCCCCUAGGCAUGCGGAAAGUCUAGUAAACCAUAUCACUUAGAGGAAGGAGAAGUCGUAACA